GCAUUGGUGGUUCAGUGGUAGAAUGCUCGCCUUCCAUGCAGGGGACCCGGACUUGAUUCUGGCCAAUUCA
RNAcentral lists this transfer RNA (70 nucleotides) under Loxodonta africana (African savanna elephant). It matches the Rfam family "tRNA". Rfam says of the family: Transfer RNA (tRNA) molecules are approximately 80 nucleotides in length. Their secondary structure includes four short double-helical elements and three loops (D, anti-codon, and T loops). Further hydrogen bonds mediate the characteristic L-shaped molecular structure. tRNAs have two regions of fundamental functional importance: the anti-codon, which is responsible for specific mRNA codon recognition, and the 3' end, to which the tRNAs corresponding amino acid is attached (by aminoacyl-tRNA synthetases). tRNAs cope with the degeneracy of the genetic code in two manners: having more than one tRNA (with a specific anti-codon) for a particular amino acid; and 'wobble' base-pairing, i.e. permitting non-standard base-pairing at the 3rd anti-codon position. Lineage: Eukaryota; Metazoa; Chordata; Mammalia; Proboscidea; Elephantidae. The record is from Rfam by way of RNAcentral.